This is a long non-coding RNA of Dermochelys coriacea (leatherback sea turtle), 1306 nucleotides long. RefSeq lists it as uncharacterized. The transcript has 3 exons. Lineage: Eukaryota; Metazoa; Chordata; Testudines; Dermochelyidae. The record is from RefSeq and is a predicted model, not a curated record.
GUGAACCCAGCCACUGGCCCUGCUCCUCGAACGCCACACGCUUCAGGAUCCCUUCCCCUGGCAGCCAGUACCUCUCUCCACCGGGCAGUUCCUGCAUGAUCCUCCAGCUCCAGCAGCAGCUGCUCUUCCCAUCCUCCUGGAAUGGAAUGGAAGCUGAUUGAGGACCAACUUUUGGUGUCUGGUCAGUAGUAGUGACUGGACACUGUCAGGUCCCCUUUUCAACCAGACUUUCCAGUCAAAAACUGACACCUGGUACCCCUAAGCUGAAACCCAAGAGAGCCAGUUAGGCUGAGAUAUGGCAUCCUGACAGCCAUAUUUAUUGUCCUGGGUUUUGGCAAGACCUGCUGGGAAGUAGGAAUGUGUAUAUAAAGAUCACCUUUCUCACAGACCAGGCAGAAAUUUGGAAGGAGCCUGCCUGACUGUGGGAAGAGAUAUCAUUUCAAGAAGUAUUGGCUUGCACUUUCCUAAUGUAAAGCGCUGAUAGAUCCUUUCCUCUGGAUGUUAGUGGAAAGAAAGCAAGUUGGCUUACUUGGACAGAAAUGGUGAUUUAUGAAGGCUGAAUGGAUGUGCACUGCAGAAAAGGGACAACACAUAUGGUCUGAGUUGCUUUGCUUAAAUGUUUGGAAAUACAGAGACCAACUGCCUUGACAGAGGUAUGGUACCUGUCUUGUCCACUCCUUCCUGUUAUGAGGGUCUAAAGAUUAGAGGUAUUUGGAACGAUUUAUGUUUUUUUCACAUGCUUGGAUAACUCAUCUUUUGGUUCAAAUGUGGACCUGUGAGUGAGUAAUACCAGUGAUCAUUUUGACCCUUUGUGGAUAGCUAACAUGUAUGGAGCAUUAAGAUCUUGAGAAAGGAUCAGGUGGUCAGUCAAAUCCAGCCUCUUUUCUGUUUUUUUUUUUCUGGAAGAGAUUUGUAACAUAGCAUUGAGAUUAAAGGACUCAUUCACUCUUUUGAUAGAUUAUGGUUGAGGGUCUGGGGUUGAAAGAAAAGAGUAAGGAAAUAUAAUUUUAAUAUCCUAUGUAUAUAGUGCUUUUCUCUCAAAAUAAUCUCAUGCACAAUAAACCUACAUGACUGCUUUCACCCACAACUGAAAUGUAGCCACUUCUCAGGUAGAAAGCAGAAGUGAUUUAAGACAGGAAGCAAAGAAUACCAUAGACAAUGGAAACUACAGAGAGAAUUGAAGUAGGCAGAAUGUUCUUAACUAAACUAGGUUGGCCAAGACCCAAAGAUUAUCACCAGGGCUGACCUUACCAUGAGGCGAACUGAGGCAGCCGCCUCAGGUGCCAGACACUGUGUGUGUGUGGUG